RNAcentral lists this unclassified non-coding RNA (378 nucleotides) under uncultured bacterium. RNAcentral describes it as "contains 16S-23S intergenic spacer region". The record is from RNAcentral.
UCCGGUUUGUCACCGGCAGUCUCCCAUGAGUCCCCAACUGAAUGCUGGCAACAUGGAACGGGGGUUGCGCUCGUUGCGGGACUUAACCCAACAUCUCACGACACGAGCUGAUGACAGCCAUGCAGCACCUGUGCACGAUCUCCGAAGAGGGGCUCUCGUUUCUGAGAGCUUGCUCCUGCAUGUCAAGCCUAGGUAAGGUUCUUCGCGUUGCGUCGAAUUAAACCACAUGCUCCACCGCUUGUGCGGGCCCCCGUCAAUUCCUUUGAGUUUUAAUCUUGCGCCCGUACUCCCCAGGCGGGGUGCUUAAAGCGUUAGCUGCGCCACUAAGAAGUUUUACCUUCCCAACGGCUAGUUGACACCGUUUACGGCGUGGACUAC